This 407-nucleotide long non-coding RNA is filed under the name Oryctolagus cuniculus (rabbit). RNAcentral describes it as "lncRNA (ENSOCUG00000038762.1)". Lineage: Eukaryota; Metazoa; Chordata; Mammalia; Lagomorpha; Leporidae. The record is from RNAcentral.
UCACAAAAGCCGUAGCCAAUCAGCACGCUCGCUGGCGCAGUGGGCGGGGGAGGUUGUUGCCGGGCGACGGGAGGGCAGGCCGGGUUUGGGAUCUGAGGCCGCCCAGGUGCCUGAUUUCCGGACAGGGUCGCUGUGGCCUCCGUGUUCCUCGGGGCUCUGGGGACCUCUAGAGUUCACCGUGAGCUGCAGAAGCCGCUCCAGAUGAAAUGGUGAAGCAGUUGGGAAAGACUAUUAAGAUACUCCAGGGGUCCUCACCAUGCAGAGCCUGGAAUACUUCACAUUUCGUACAAAAUAUCACAUGGAUCAGCGGCAGGUAAAACAGUUGACAGACUUGCUAACAGGAGAAGAAAGAAGAGCUGAAGACAGAAAAUGAAAAGCAGCCAAAUAAAUCAUCAACUAUGAUUCCA